This 71-nucleotide transfer RNA is filed under the name Cautires nervosus. RNAcentral describes it as "tRNA-Glu". The record is from RNAcentral. Lineage: Eukaryota; Metazoa; Arthropoda; Insecta; Coleoptera; Lycidae.
AUUUGUAUAGUUUAAUAAAAUAAAACAUUUCAUUUUCAUUGAAAAAUUAAAUAAUAAUUAUUUUACAAAUA